Molecule: small nuclear RNA, 317 nt
Filed under: Myotis davidii
Lineage: Eukaryota; Metazoa; Chordata; Mammalia; Chiroptera; Vespertilionidae
Description: 7SK RNA
Rfam family: 7SK RNA
About the family: 7SK was discovered as an abundant small nuclear RNA in the mid-70s but a possible function has only recently been suggested. Two independent studies have found that 7SK RNA binds the CDK9/cyclin T complex (known as elongation factor P-TEFb).
Source: Rfam by way of RNAcentral
GGAUGUGAGGGCGAUCUGGCUGUGACAUCUGUCACCCCAUUGAUCGCCAGGGUUGAGUCGGCUGAUCUGGCUGGCUAGGCGGGUGUCCCCCUCCUCCCUCACUGAUCCAUGUGCGUCCCUCCUGAAGUUUCGCGCACGGUCAAAGAGGAUGACCUCCCCCCCGCCCCCAGGAGAGGACCAGUCUUUGGUCAAGGGUAUACGAGUAGCUGCGCUCCCCUGCUAGAACCUCCAAACAAGCUCUCAAAAAGAGAUUGAAUGAGAUUAAAAUACUGAUAUAAAAAUCUCUUUGAAAAAAACCCCCCACAAAAAACCUCUUU